UUGAUCCUGGCUCAGAACGAACGCUGGCGGCGUGCUUAACACAUGCAAGUCGAACGCGAAAGUUCCUUCGGGAGACGAGUAGAGUGGCGCACGGGUGAGUAACGCGUAAGUAAUCUGCCCCUGUGUUCGGAAUAACCCACCGAAAGGUGUGCUAAUACCGGAUACGCUGGAAACAGGAAAGAUGGCCUCUUCAUGAAAGCUAUCGCACAGGGAGGAGCUUGCGUACCAUUAGCUGGUUGGUAGGGUAAAGGCCUACCAAGGCGACGAUGGUUAGCGGGUCUGAGAGGAUGAUCCGCCACACUGGAACUGAAACACGGACCAGACUCCUACGGGAGGCAGCAGUGAGGAAUAUUGCGCAAUGGGGGAAACCCUGACGCAGCGACGCCGCGUGGAUGAUGAAGGCCUUCGGGUCGUAAAAUCCUGUCAGAUGGGAAGAAAUGCCUGCAGGUUAACAGCCUGUGAGUUUGACGGUACCAUCAAAGGAAGCACCGGCUAACUCCGUGCCAGCAGCCGCGGUAAUACGGAGGGUGCAAGCGUUGUUCGGAAUUACUGGGCGUAAAGCGCGCGUAGGCGGUUUGUUAAGUCAGAUGUGAAAGCCCAUGGCUCAACCAUGGACGUGCAUUUGAUACUGGCAGGCUUGAGUACUGGAGGGGGUAGUGGAAUUCCCGGUGUAGAGGUGAAAUUCGUAGAUAUCGGGAGGAAUACCGGUGGCGAAGGCGACUACCUGGCCAGAUACUGACGCUGAUGUGCGAAAGCAUGGGGAGCAAACAGGAUUAGAUACCCUGGUAGUCCAUGCCGUAAACGAUGUGAACUAGGUGUAGGGAUGGUUAAUCGUCUCAUUGCCGCAGCUAACGCAUUAAGUUCACCGACUGGGGAGUACCGGUCGCAAGAUUAAAACUCA
RNAcentral lists this ribosomal RNA (901 nucleotides) under uncultured organism. Its description in RNAcentral is "bacterial SSU rRNA". It matches the Rfam family "Bacterial small subunit ribosomal RNA", at positions 13 to 903 of the family's 1533-position model. The record is from RNAcentral.